This 373-nucleotide ribosomal RNA is filed under the name uncultured organism. RNAcentral's name for it is "bacterial SSU rRNA". It matches the Rfam family "Bacterial small subunit ribosomal RNA", at positions 526 to 896 of the family's 1533-position model. The record is from RNAcentral.
CAGAGGUCCCAAGCGUUGUUCGGAUUCACUGGGCGUAAAGGGUGCGUAGGUGGCGAGGAAAGUCGGAUGUGAAAUCUCCAAGCUCAACUUGGAAAUGGCAUUGGAAACUACCUUGCUAGAGGUUUGGAGGGGGACGUGGAAUUCUCGGUGUAGCAGUGAAAUGCGUAGAUAUCGAGAGGAACACCAGUGGCGAAGGCGAGUCCCUGGACAACACCUGACACUGAGGCACGAAAGCUAGGGGAGGCAAACAGGAUUAGAUACCCUGGUAGUCCUAGCUGUAAACGGUGCUUGCUUGCUGUAAAAGGAAUCGACCCCUUUUGUGGCGAAGCCAACGCGAUAAGCAAGCCGCCUGGGAAGUACGGUCGCAAGAUUA